CCAAUAGCGUAUAUUAAAGUUGUUGCAGUUAAAAAGCUCGUAGUUGAAUUUCGGGGUUAGUAAGUUGGUCAUGCCUCCGGUAUGCACUGGCUUUACUGAUUCCUCCUUCUUGAUGAACUGUAAUGUCAUUAAUUUGGUGUUGCAGGGAAUCAGGACUGUUACUUUGAAAAAAUUAGAGUGUUUAAAGCAGGCAUACGCUUGAAUACAUUAGCAUGGAAUAAUGAAAUAGGACGUUUGAUCCUAUUUUGUUGGUUUCUAGGAUUGACGUAAUGAUUAAUAGGGAUAGUUGGGGGCAUUAGUAUUCAAUUGUCAGAGGUGAAAUUCUUGGAUUUAUUGAAGACUAACUACUGCGAAAGCAUUUGCCAAGGAUGUUUUCAUUAAUCAAGAACGAAAGUUAGGGGAUCGAAGACGAUCAGAUACCGUCGUAGUCUUAACCAUAAACUAUGCCGACUAGGGAUCGGAUGAUGUUAUUUUUAAUGACUCAUUCGGCGCCUUACG
This 498-nucleotide ribosomal RNA is filed under the name uncultured Glomus. Its description in RNAcentral is "SSU rRNA". It matches the Rfam family "Eukaryotic small subunit ribosomal RNA", at positions 591 to 1092 of the family's 1831-position model. The record is from RNAcentral. RNAcentral also lists the same sequence under 1 other name. Lineage: Eukaryota; Fungi; Glomeromycota; Glomeromycetes; Glomerales; Glomeraceae.